Molecule: ribosomal RNA, 460 nt
Filed under: uncultured bacterium
Lineage: Bacteria
Description: partial 16S ribosomal RNA
Rfam family: Bacterial small subunit ribosomal RNA
Source: RNAcentral
CCUACGGGUGGCAGCAGUGAGGAAUAUUGGUCAAUGGACGAGAGUCUGAACCAGCCAAGUAGCGUGAAGGAUGACUGCCCUAUAGGUUGUAAACUUCUUUUAUAUGGGAAUAAAAUGUUCCACGUGUGGGAUUUUGUAUGUACCAUAUGAAUAAGGAUCGGCUAACUCCGUGCCAGCAGCCGCGGUAAUACGGAGGAUCCGAGCGUUAUCCGGAUUUAUUGGGUUUAAAGGGAGCGUAGGUGGAUUGUUAAGUCAGUUGUGAAAGUUUGCGGCUCAACCGUAAAAUUGCAGUUGAAACUGGCAGUCUUGAGUACAGUAGAGGUGGGCGGAAUUCGUGGUGUAGCGGUGAAAUGCUUAGAUAUCACGAAGAACUCCGAUUGCGAAGGCAGUUCACUGGACUGCAACUGACACUGAGGCUCGAAAGUGUGGGUAUCAAACAGGAGUAGAUACCCGGGUAGGC